GCUGGGUGUGAUGGUACACACCUGUAAUCCCAGCAUUUUGGGAGGCCGAGACGAGAGGAUUGCUUGAGCCCAGGAGUUUGAGACCAGCCUGGGCAACAUAGUGAGACCCCGUCUCUU
This is an unclassified non-coding RNA of Pongo abelii (Sumatran orangutan), 117 nucleotides long. It matches the Rfam family "Metazoan signal recognition particle RNA". Rfam says of the family: The signal recognition particle (SRP) is a universally conserved ribonucleoprotein. The record is from Ensembl. NCBI's taxonomy places the organism in Eukaryota, Metazoa, Chordata, Mammalia, Primates, Hominidae.